CAGCCGCCGCGGUAAUACGUAGGGUCCGAGCGUUGUCCGGAAUUAUUGGGCGUAAAGGGCUCGUAGGCGGUUUGUCGCGUCGGGAGUGAAAACUUGGGGCUUAACCCCAUUCGUGCUUCCGAUACGGGCAGACUAGAGGCAGGCAGGGGAGAACGGAAUUCCUGGUGUAGCGGUGGAAUGCGCAGAUAUCAGGAGGAACACCGGUGGCGAAGGCGGUUCUCUGGGCCUGUUCUGACGCUGAGGAGCGAAAGCAUGGGGAGCGAACAGGAUUAGAUACCCUGGUAGUCCAUGCCGUAAACGUUGGGCGCUAGGUGUGGGAUCCAUUCCACGGGUUCCGUGCCGCAGCUAACGCAUUAAGCGCCCCGCCUGGGGAGUACGGCCGCAAGGCUAAAACUCAAAGGAAUUGACGGGGGCCCGCACAAGCGGCGGAGCAUGCUGAUUAAUUCGAUGCAACGCGAAGAACCUUACCUGGGUUUGACAUACACCAGAAGCCUGCAGAGAUGUGGGUCUCUUUGGACACUGGUGUACAGGUGGUGCAUGGCC
This 543-nucleotide ribosomal RNA is filed under the name uncultured archaeon. Its description in RNAcentral is "bacterial SSU rRNA". It matches the Rfam family "Bacterial small subunit ribosomal RNA", at positions 509 to 1050 of the family's 1533-position model. The record is from RNAcentral.